GUUUGGUGCGUUGUGUUGAAACGUGAAAGCAUCAACAAAUCUGCGAGCACAAAUCAGAGAUGAGGGAGAAGGCGAGGUGAGCGAUGCGCCGAGGUCAACGUGGUCUCCGGGGUUCUCUUUGGUGGAGGAGGAGCAACAGUCUGGACAGAGGUCAUCAGUCAGAGUGUAACCAGGGGUCUGCAACCUCCGCCACUUAAAGAGCCAUCCGAGUCGAUUUCUCGCCAACCCUCAGGAGUGAUAAAGUCUUCGCUCAGCCUUUAGAAAAUAA
Long non-coding RNA from Oryzias melastigma (Indian medaka), 268 nucleotides. RefSeq lists it as uncharacterized. The transcript is spliced from 2 exons. Lineage: Eukaryota; Metazoa; Chordata; Actinopteri; Beloniformes; Adrianichthyidae. The record is from RefSeq and is a predicted model, not a curated record.